UGUGCAAAGUUCGCAUGAUGUACGUUUAUGC
Molecule: non-coding RNA, 31 nt
Filed under: Rattus norvegicus (Norway rat)
Lineage: Eukaryota; Metazoa; Chordata; Mammalia; Rodentia; Muridae
Source: RNAcentral